AGAGCAUCUUCCAAUAGAAGGGCAAAAAGGCCAUUUCACUGUUGAAUGAACACCGAAUAGUUGCUUUUAAGGAUCACUGGAUGCACUAAAUGAGCUUCUGAAGGAACCCAUACCAGUUAACCGAUUUAGACCCGGCCCCCAACAUUCUUGUUAACGGACGGAUGUGAACCAUUUUCCGAAGACCUAUUGACAGAGAUCAGGAUAGACAAGCUAACAUUUCAAGGUACCUACAAUCAAUCAAGCGACUGGCAUUGCAGGACCUGAGCCAAAUGACACACUUAAGAAAAUCUGGUCUGAUGCAGUUUUACGUCCAACAGGAAAACAGCAGGGAAGGUUGAGCAACUAAUUCAAGACUUUCUACCAUAAUCCUCCAUAUAUACAGAUGAUCACAUUUAAGAUUGUGAGUGAUUUUUCUGGUCUACUUCGGGAAGAAUCUUGUUUGGAGAGACUCUCUUACAGGAGGUGUGAAGGGAAAUGUCGUGAAGGUUGGAGAUCUUGUUUAUGUCCUCAAGAUGGUCUCUUCUGCUGAUGAAUUUUGUAAUUAAUGUACUUUAUCCAUGCUGUUAUAGGACACUAAAAACUGCUGUCUAGAUUGUAAAUAACAAACACGGUUACUUGUUAAAAAUUAGCUUCCUGCUUAGAUGAGAGUUCCAGGUAGUUCAAUAAAAGAAGAGAAUGCAAACAGA
Long non-coding RNA from Rosa chinensis, 686 nucleotides. RefSeq lists it as uncharacterized. The transcript has 3 exons. Lineage: Eukaryota; Viridiplantae; Streptophyta; Magnoliopsida; Rosales; Rosaceae. The record is from RefSeq and is a predicted model, not a curated record.